This 366-nucleotide ribosomal RNA is filed under the name uncultured phototrophic eukaryote. Its description in RNAcentral is "SSU rRNA". It matches the Rfam family "Bacterial small subunit ribosomal RNA", at positions 524 to 896 of the family's 1533-position model. The record is from RNAcentral.
UACGGAGGAUGCAAGUGUUAUCCGGAAUCACUGGGCGUAAAGCGUCUGUAGGUUGUUUAAUAAGUCAGCUGUUAAAUCUUGAGGCUCAACUUCAAAAUCGCAGUCGAAACUAUUAGACUAGAGUAUAGUAGGGGUAAAGGGAAUUUCCAGUGGAGCGGUGAAAUGCGUAGAGAUUGGAAAGAACACCGAUGGCGAAGGCACUUUACUGGGCUAUUACUGACACUCAGAGACGAAAGCUAGGGUAGCAAAUGGGAUUAGAUACCCCAGUAGUCCUAGCCGUAAACGAUGGAUACUAGAUGUUGCAUAUAUGCAGUAUCCUAGCUAACGCGUUAAGUAUCCCGCCUGGGGAGUACGCUCGCAAGGGUG